CCGCCACGCGUGUAGAGGUAUGUGCGUGUUACGAAAAACGCGAGGAGCGGGUUCUGAAGUCUGUCGUUGGUCACACAUACAUGCAUUUACCAGCGGAUUGCGCUACACCGUGUCUACCCAUCUUUUUCGAUCUAUCAUGAUCUUUUCUGCUAUCGCACUCAUCCGGGUGUUAGGCAUUCUCAGUCUGUCCAGAACUUUCGUUGUGGAAGGAUGUGCGGGAGUGAUGUGCGAUUUCUUGUGUCCCCUACUUUCCAUGUUUACGUUUUGCGCAGUGUUGCUUCUUAUUCCAUUGUGGAAUGAUUUAUCCUAGCUAACUUGUUGAGUUACAGGUGCAUGCUCCAUUCAUCAGCGCCUACGUGUUGGCAUCAUCAACAAUCUUCAAAGUGGGUGACGGAAAGAAAUUGUUUUCCAGUUUUAAAAUAUUAAGCGUUCAGCACAACUCAGCCACAAAACAACCCCCUGUGCAAUGCGAUCCAAAAAUUGGAACCUCUCGCUCAUGUAGUUCGUUUUUCUCUUUCCCUCCUACAGCGUUUUUGUCGAGCAGCUCAUCGAGCAAUGCGUCCCUUGCGUUUCCUCUUCCCCUUCGCCUGAGCGCGCUGCCAAAGAUGUAUAUGUGUUGGUAUGCUUGAUGUGGAACGAUUGCGGCGCCGAUAGAAAAUGUAAACAUUGCGGACUGCUCAUCCAAGAGUGCUCCGGCGUUAAUUAAAUAAUAAUUGCAUAAAGUCGAGUGAAAAUAGGAUCAAGCCGUGUAAAAAGAAUACAUUUAAUGUAUCCCGACCCUGUCCAUAGUCAUGCGCGUCAAAUGGCACGGUUGGAACGCGAACAUACUGCGACGCGAAUGCGUUUUGCUGAGCAACCGGAA
This is a long non-coding RNA of Anopheles merus, 862 nucleotides long. RefSeq lists it as uncharacterized. The transcript has 4 exons. The record is from RefSeq and is a predicted model, not a curated record. Lineage: Eukaryota; Metazoa; Arthropoda; Insecta; Diptera; Culicidae.